AGAAAGGGGUAACAUCAGGGUGAAGAGGGAAGUUAGACCAAGAGAAGAUGAAGGACUAGGAAUGUGGAACCUGGAUUAUCACAAAAGACAAAGCCAAAAACAAGAGAUACACGGAAAAUAGUACAAAAUAACAUAGCAGUCCAUAAUCUCACAAGUCUACCAUCACAAAACAAAAGAAACAGCACAAUACCACAAAGUCACAAAAUCAAAGGAAAUAAGUCUAAAACAACAAACAAAAGUCGCAGAUUCAACAAAGGAGCAAAGGGAAAUCACUUGAACGGUGGUGGUGGAGGUGGUGGCUAGUAGGACAGGAAAUGGGGAUAAUACACUUACCUUGUUGUUGCGGUAGUAGUCGGGAUGUGAAGCUCCAGCAUCCUGAAAGUGGUGCUACGGUGGAGGCUGAUAGUCAGAGUGGUGUUGAGGAAGCCUGACCCUGCAUUUUGAUAGUAUGCCAUGUGGCCGGUCUGCCAAUCGUGUGUCUGCUGGAUCCAGUGCGUCUCUGUCUGCAGUAUCUGAAUCUGCUCCCCAACACUCCGGAAAGUGCUGCUGAUCUCACCUCUGAAUCGAUCAAAGUCGCUCUGCAGCUCUCUCAAAUCCUGCCUAUGUAUCUCAACUACUCAUCCUGGGAUCUCCUGUACUCCUCAUCUCUCAGCACCUCAUGCUGAGCUCUCUUAUCCGAAAUCUGCUACUAGAUAGUAAGAUGCUCUAUGGAAGCCUGCAGAGAUGACAAAUUAGCUGGUGGUGCAGCAGAUCCCUAAGCUGUAGUUGUGGUGUCGAGCUCCUCAACAAGCAGGUCUUGAACUCCAUUUCUCAGCAACUCAUCCAGGUAGAAGUUGUAUAGUGGAAACUUAAUGAUGCCCAACACUCCAAUGUUGCGAACUAACAAGCUCCUCCUCCUUACAGUACGUCAUGCAUGAAGAGGCUCUUCAAUUACUUGAAGAGAGUGAGAACCAAGUCUCCCAAAUGCAUGUUGAUCCUCUUCUCCAAGCAAUAUAAGAUGUGCAUGUCUUGGUUAGUGAUCGCACCUGGAGAGCCGGUAGAAGAAUAGUGCUAGAUGCUGUGGCGAGCAAACAAGUGGAUGAGCCGGAACAUCGGCUUGUGGAUCCUCAUGGCCUAAGAGACCCCAGCUAUGAACGGUCCUACGCCUUCGGUGAUGCUACGCUAAAAAUCAUGGAGGCGGAGUCCAAAAAUCAUGGCGAGACAAGCCAACUCUAUAGAAUUGAAUCCAAGCAUCACUCUAAACUCAUCCGGAGACAUGUUGUGCAGCAUCCCUCCAAAACGGAAGGUGACCACCUUCUGAGAGGUAGAAGUGUAGCGGCCGAUGUCAAGUGUACAUAAGAACUCUCAGACCACAUGAGGAUUGGAGUACUAGAUCACCUUCCAAUCAAAAUAGAGGGGAGCGAGCCACCCCCUUCCAGUGAACUCCUUGAGAACUAAGUUCCCCUAUUUGGAAACAGGGAGGUGCUGGAGAGUCACGUAAUGCUUCCAAGCUAGAGAGCCUUCCAGAAAGUUAAAGACUUCCUCCGAAGCCACUGAGAAUCUAAGCAUCAUUCUGAACUCAUCCGGUGACACGUUGUGUAGCUUCCCUCCCAUGUGGAAGGUUACCACCUUCUAAGAGGUAGAAGCGUAGCGGCCGAUGUCAAGUGUACAGAAGAACUCUCAGACCACUUGAGGAUAGGGAGUACUCAAUCACCUUCUAAUCAAAACAGAGGGGAGCGAGCCACCCCCUUCCAGUGAACUCCUCGAGAACUAAGUUCCCCCAUUUGGAAACAGGGAGGUGCUGGAGAGUCAUGUAAUGCUUCCAAGCUGGAGAGCAUUCUAGAAAGUUAAAGACUUCCUCCCGAAGGCACUGAGAAGGAGGGAUAGCAUUAAUCAAGAGAGAUUGCGGAUUCACGGGCACAGCUAAAACUUCAAACUUAUGGUACGGCUUAGGUGGAGCUGCCGGAGAGGAGGUGUUAGGAGUUGCUUGCCUUGAGGAAGAAGAACCAUCAUUUCCCUUACACCUCUUGGGAACCUUCGAAGACUUCCCUUUAGGAGCCAUCCUGAAACAGUCAACAAAUGUGAGAAUCCUAAAACAUGACAAUAAGGGCAUAACAACCAAAUCAUCCUACUUAAGCACAACACCAUUAAGAAAGCUCACAAGUAGUCAUGGCAAAAGGUAAGGUGCACAAAAAUGAGAAAAUUCAAUGAAAGCACACUAGUCAUUCACAUAGGCAACUAACUAGCAAUACUAUCCAAAGUCAAUCCUAUGUUCUCAAGUGAGCAUCAAUUACCAUAAGGAAUCAUCACAACAUACUAAGUCCAAGAGACAAGAAUGAGCAAAAUGAUUGUAAUCAUAACAUCAAUUGAUCAACCUUGCAUCAUUCAAGCUUAAUCAAAUAAGAAGCACAAAGGACCAGUAGUAUGCAGCAUGACUCAAAGAAUCACUCAUCAACAUUCUCAACACAAAUGCACAAUCAAGAGUCAUAACAAGAUUUAAAUUAGAGCAUAAGAGGCAAUGAAGCAUACAUAUAUAUUCAGUUCAUCAUUCUAAAAGCAUCAAAGUGUACCUAGCAUAACCCUAGGCACAAAAUUCAUAUUCAAACUACAAAGAUGCUAUUCCGAAUUCUCAUCACAAGAUCAACCAAUUCAGUUAAAUAUAUUUUGCAAAGCUAGAGAUUCAAUUAGGCAUCAUCAUCACUACCUAGCAACUACAAAUGUGAAGAUAUCCACAUUCAAAAAUCUUUACCCUAAAUUACCACAAACCGAAACCAAUUGACAACAUAAGAGCUUUCCCCCACACUUGGGAGAUUUGCAUCCAUACAGAUGCAAAGAAUGCACAAAUCCAAAGAAAAGAGGAAACAUGACCUAAAAUUGCCACAUUCAACCCCAAAUCCUACACUAAUCAACCAUAAUUUAGUAUAAAUCCAUCAAUUCCAAAUCCCACAACCUUAAUCAUGCAUACUAUGAUCAAUUCAAUAACACAACCAAGCCAAAGUUACACCAAUUGCAUUCGAAAUAUGAAAUUUGAAAAUUAAAGAAAACGUUUCUGACCUAAUUUGAGAAAAAUCAAAAUCGGGGCAAGGGAAGUGAUAGGGAAACGACGGCUACAACGGAGAGGGGUUGUCGGAGUAGUGGCGGAGGAUAGGGGUGGGGUUGGGUGGGUCGUGAUGGUAGGGGAGGGAUUAGGGAGAAGGGAGGAAGGGAAAGAAAGGAAAGGAGGAAGGAGAGGAGGGGAAGGAGGAUGAGGGAAGGGGGAAGAGGGGAAGGAGAGGAGG
RNAcentral lists this long non-coding RNA (3257 nucleotides) under Linum usitatissimum (flax). RNAcentral's name for it is "long non-coding RNA (LUSI_LNC006840)". The record is from RNAcentral. Lineage: Eukaryota; Viridiplantae; Streptophyta; Magnoliopsida; Malpighiales; Linaceae.